GACGAACGCUGGCGGCGUGCUUAACACAUGCAAGUCGAACGGAAAGGCCCUGCUUUUGUGGGGUGCUCGAGUGGCGAACGGGUGAGUAACACGUGAGUAACCUGCCCUUGACUUUGGGAUAACUUCAGGAAACUGGGGCUAAUACCGGAUAGGAGCUCCUGCUGCAUGGUGGGGGUUGGAAAGUUUCGGCGGUUGGGGAUGGACUCGCGGCUUAUCAGCUUGUUGGUGGGGUAGUGGCUUACCAAGGCUUUGCCGGGUAGCCGGCCUGAGAGGGUGACCGGCCACCUUGGGACUGAGAUACGGCCCAGCCUCCUACGGGAGGCAGCAGUGGGGAAUAUUGCACAAUGGGCGGAAGCCUGAUGCAGCAACGCCGCGUGCGGGAUGACGGCCUUCGGGUUGUAAACCGCUUUCGCCUGUGACGAAGCGUGAGUGACGGUAAUGGGUAAAGAAGCACCGGCUAACUACGUG
RNAcentral lists this ribosomal RNA (468 nucleotides) under uncultured bacterium. Its description in RNAcentral is "partial 16S ribosomal RNA". It matches the Rfam family "Bacterial small subunit ribosomal RNA", at positions 28 to 507 of the family's 1533-position model. The record is from RNAcentral.